ACGUCAAAUCCAUGCGCUAUUAACGCAUGAACCUUCCUCACUGCUGAAAGUACUUACAACCAAGGCCUUCUUCAUACACGCGGCAUGGCUGCAUCAGGCUUGCGCCCAUUGUGCAAUAUUCCCC
RNAcentral lists this ribosomal RNA (124 nucleotides) under uncultured bacterium. RNAcentral describes it as "partial 16S ribosomal RNA". The record is from RNAcentral.